Non-coding RNA from Pelobates cultripes (western spadefoot toad), 244 nucleotides. Lineage: Eukaryota; Metazoa; Chordata; Amphibia; Anura; Pelobatidae. The record is from the annotation of a GenBank genome assembly.
AUCAUUGCUGUAUUUAACCAAUUUAAUCUAAACAUUAACCAAAACAAUUACAUUCCUAUUUACCACCCUUCUAUUUAAACAUGUAUAGAUAACCCAAAAUGACUACUUUCUCUUAUCCCUCUUAUCAUUCUUCCGUUUUUUUUUGUUUUGUUUUGUUUUUUUUUUAACUGCAACCACUCAUGCACUUUACACAGACACAAAUCAAGCACCUACUGGACAAUGGGGUUCCCUCGUUAGAGCCCUC